RNAcentral lists this ribosomal RNA (286 nucleotides) under Faughnia serenei. RNAcentral's name for it is "partial 12S ribosomal RNA". Lineage: Eukaryota; Metazoa; Arthropoda; Malacostraca; Stomatopoda; Parasquillidae. The record is from RNAcentral.
CCGGGGUAGUAUACAGUUAUUUUCUUGAAACCCAAAGAGUUUGGCGGUACUUUAGUCUAGUUAGAGGAGCUUGUUCAGUAAUUGAUAAUCCUCAAAAAAUCUUACGUAUUUUGUAGUCAGUUUAUAUACCGUCGUUAUUAGAUAAUAUUAAAAGGUGCUUAAUUAUCCAAACAUACUUAAUUUAUAAUAUAUCAGAUCAAGGUGUAGCUUAUAAAUACGAAUCGAAUGAGCUACAUUUUAUUUUAUAAAUAACGGAAAUUGGUUUUAAAUAAUCAAUAAAAGGUGG